RNAcentral lists this ribosomal RNA (253 nucleotides) under uncultured bacterium. RNAcentral describes it as "partial 16S ribosomal RNA". It matches the Rfam family "Bacterial small subunit ribosomal RNA", at positions 524 to 776 of the family's 1533-position model. The record is from RNAcentral.
UACGUAGGGCGCAAGCGUUGUCCGGAAUUAUUGGGCGUAAAGAGCUCGUAGGCGGUUUGUCGCGUCUGUCGUGAAAGCUUGGGGCUUAACCCCAAGUCUGCGGUGGAUACGGGCAGACUAGAGGCAGGUAGGGGAGAACGGAAUUCCCGGUGUAGCGGUGAAAUGCGUAGAGAUCCGGAGGAAGACCGGUGGCGAAGGCGGCCUGCUGGGCAGUUACUGACACUGAGGCGCGACAGCGUGGGGAGCAAACAGG